GGAGGGAUGGCUGAGUGGACGAAAGCACUGGUCUUGAAAACCAGCGACCCGCAAGGGUCCGUGGGUUCGAAUCCCACUCCCUCCGCCA
Molecule: transfer RNA, 88 nt
Filed under: Verrucomicrobiota bacterium
Lineage: Bacteria; Pseudomonadati; Verrucomicrobiota
Description: Verrucomicrobia bacterium (marine metagenome) tRNA-Ser
Rfam family: tRNA
About the family: Transfer RNA (tRNA) molecules are approximately 80 nucleotides in length. Their secondary structure includes four short double-helical elements and three loops (D, anti-codon, and T loops).
Source: RNAcentral